ACGGGAGGCAGCAGUGAGGAAUAUUGGUCAAUGGGCGGAAGCCUGAACCAGCCAAGUCGCGUGAAGGAUGAAGGUAUUAUGUAUUGUAAACUUCUUUAGCAGUGGAGUAAUAAGGGGGAUGCAUCCCCUGAUGCAAGUACACUGAGAAUAAGGAUCGGCUAACUCCGUGCCAGCAGCCGCGGUAAUACGGAAGGUCCGAGCGUUAUCCGGAUUUAUUGGGUUUAAAGGGAGCGCAGGCGGAGAGGCAAGCCAGCCGUAAAAUCGUUGAGCUCAACUCAAUCUCGCGGUUGGAACUGCUUCCCUUGAGUGCACGAGAGGAUGGUGGAAUUCGUGGUGUAGCGGUGAAAUGCAUAGAUAUCACGAAGAACUCCGAUUGCGAAGGCAGCCAUCUGGCGUGUUACUGACGCUCAUGCUCGAAGGCGCGGGUAUCAAACAGGAUUAGAUACCCUGGUA
Molecule: ribosomal RNA, 453 nt
Filed under: uncultured bacterium
Lineage: Bacteria
Description: partial 16S ribosomal RNA
Rfam family: Bacterial small subunit ribosomal RNA
Source: RNAcentral